Molecule: long non-coding RNA, 332 nt
Filed under: Brassica napus (rape)
Lineage: Eukaryota; Viridiplantae; Streptophyta; Magnoliopsida; Brassicales; Brassicaceae
Description: long non-coding RNA (BNAP_LNC018968)
Source: RNAcentral
AUCAGCAAUCGCAUCCACGCAUUCUUCAGCCAAAUUAUAAUAUGUCCUAAUACCCAUCAAUCUAGUUGCAGAUGAUAAGGGUGAAUGACCAUCUCUACAACCUUUAUACAAAGGUUGUUUUCCUGCAUCCAACAUUUCAAAAAAUCUCCUCGAUUCUACAUUGGGUUCUUCCCCUCUAUAAUGAUCAUUUACCAUCUGCUCAGUACCUACACCAUAAUCUACAUCCGGUUCUUCUAACCUAUCAACAGGCUGAGGUUCGCUAGUACUACCAUAUUCAUAACUAAAUUCCCCAUGAAGAUGCCAAACCUUAUAAUUCCAUGUAAACCCUCUCA